RNAcentral lists this ribosomal RNA (124 nucleotides) under Chaetomorpha melagonium. RNAcentral describes it as "partial 5.8S ribosomal RNA". It matches the Rfam family "5.8S ribosomal RNA", at positions 31 to 154 of the family's 154-position model. Rfam says of the family: 5.8S ribosomal RNA (5.8S rRNA) is a component of the large subunit of the eukaryotic ribosome. The record is from RNAcentral. Lineage: Eukaryota; Viridiplantae; Chlorophyta; Ulvophyceae; Cladophorales; Cladophoraceae.
CAUCGAUGAAGAACGCAGCAAAGCGCGAUAGGUAGUGUGAAUUGCAGAAUUCCGUGAAUCAUCGAAUUUUUGAACGCAUAUUGCGCCCGAGUCUUCGGAUUUGGGCAUGUCUGCCUCAGCGUCG